UGAUUAUCCUGGUCCCGCAAGGGGACGUGAGGGCGCAAGCUCGAGCGGAUCUGUUGACGUUUUUGCCGAGAAAAGUUCCGGCGUAUACUAAGGUGCCCGUACCGGAAACCGACACAGGUGGGUGAGUAGAAUAUACUAAGGCGCGUGAGUGAAAUCUCUUGAAGGAACUCGGCAAGUUAGCCCCGUAACUUCGGAAGAAGGGGCGCCAUCGCAAGAUGGCCGCAGUGAAAUGAGUCAACCGACUGUUUAACAAAAACACAGCUCUCUGCUAAGUCGCAAGACGACGUAUAGGGAGUGACACGUGACCAAUGCGGAAAGAUUACGGUAAGGGGUCAGCCGCAAGGCGAAGCUCUGAGCCCAAGUCCCCGUGAAUGUCGGCCGUAACUAUAACGGUCCUAAGGUAGCGAAAUUCCUUGUCGGGUAAGUUCCGACCUGCACGAAUCGUGUAACGAGUUGACUGCUGUCUCCAAGAGAAGCUCAGCGAAGUUGUAGUGGCGGUGAAGAUGCCGCCUACCCGCAGCAGGACGGAAAGACCCCGUGCACCUUUACUGUAUGCUGUUACUGGAUUUUUAUUCGGGAUACUUAGCGUAAGUGGGAGACUUUGAAGGGCGGAUUUCGGUUCGCCCUGAGUCGACGAUGAAACACCACCUUUUCUGCGUGAAGAUUCUAACCGUUAGCCCUGAAGCGGGCGGCGGGACAAUGGCAGCGGGUCAGUUUGACUGGGGCGGUUUCCUCCCAAAGAGUAACGGAGGAGUGCUAAGGUUCCCUCAGCUUGGUUGGCAAUCAAGCGACGAGCAUAUGGGUAGAUGGGAGCUUAACUGUGAGACACACACGUCGAACAGAUGCGAAAGCAGGCCCAAGUGAUCCGGUGGUAGAAUGUGGAAUUGCCAUCGCUCAACGGACAAAAGGUACGCCGGGGAUAACAGGCUUAUCGCUUCCAAGAGUUCAUAUCGACGAAGCGGUUUGGCACCUCGAUGUCGGCUCAUCGCAUCCUGGGGCUGGAGAAGGUCCCAAGGGUCCGGCUGUUCGCCGGUUAAAGCGGUACGCGAGCUGGGUUCAGAACGUCGUGAGACAGUUCGGUCCUUAUCCGCUGUGGGCGCAGGAGAUUUGAGGGGUUCAUUCCUUAGUACGAGAGGACCGGGAAUGACGAACCACUGGUGUUCCGGUUGUCGUGUCAACGGCAGCGCCGGGUAGCUAUGUUCGGAAAGGAUAAGCGCUGAAAGCAUCUAAGCGCCAAGCCUAUCCCAAGAUGAGAUCUCCCCAUUAAGAUCCAGGUAGACCACCUGGUUGAUAGGACGCAAGUGUAUAGGCAGCAAUGCCAGAGCUAAGCGUUACUAAUUAUCUGAUUGGCUUGAUCUU
Molecule: ribosomal RNA, 1359 nt
Filed under: metagenome
Description: bacterial LSU rRNA
Rfam family: Bacterial large subunit ribosomal RNA
Source: RNAcentral